GCCUCUGUAGCGCAGUGGAUAGUGCGUUGGACUUCAAAUCCAAAUGCUGAGGGUUCGAAUUCCUCCUGGGUUU
Trichonephila clavipes is the source of this 73-nucleotide non-coding RNA. NCBI's taxonomy places the organism in Eukaryota, Metazoa, Arthropoda, Arachnida, Araneae, Nephilidae. The record is from the annotation of a GenBank genome assembly.